RNAcentral lists this ribosomal RNA (561 nucleotides) under uncultured archaeon. RNAcentral's name for it is "bacterial SSU rRNA". It matches the Rfam family "Archaeal small subunit ribosomal RNA", at positions 176 to 738 of the family's 1478-position model. The record is from RNAcentral.
UGGUUUAUGUUUCAAAUAAUUUAUUGCCGUAGGAUGGGACUGCGGCCUAUCAGUUUGUUGGUGAGGUAAUGGCCCACCAAGACUAUUACAGGUACGGGCUCUGAGAGGAGUAGCCCGGAGAUGGGUACUGAGACACGGACCCAGGCCCUAUGGGGCGCAGCAGGCGAGAAAACUUUGCAAUGUGCGAAAGCACGACAAGGUUAAUCCGAGUGGUUUCUGCUAAAGGAACCUUUUGUCAGUCCUAGAAACACUGAUGAAUAAGGGGUGGGCAAGUUCUGGUGUCAGCCGCCGCGGUAAAACCAGCACCUCAAGUGGUCAGGAUGAUUAUUGGGCCUAAAGCAUCCGUAGCCUGCUUUGUAAGUUUUCGGUUAAAUCCAUACGCUCAACGUAUGGGCUGCCGGGAAUACUGCAAAGCUAGGGAGUGGGAGAGGUAGACGGUACUCGGUAGGAAGGGGUAAAAUCCUUUGAUCUAUUGAUGACCACCUGUGGCGAAGGCGGUCUACCAGAACACGUCCGACGGUGAGGGAUGAAAGCUGGGGGAGCAAACCGGAUUAGAUACCC